UUUUGGUCAAGAUGCUCCAUUUUGUGAAUUUUCUCCAAAAGAGCAUCUUGUCCAUAGAG
Molecule: microRNA precursor, 59 nt
Filed under: Sarcophilus harrisii (Tasmanian devil)
Lineage: Eukaryota; Metazoa; Chordata; Mammalia; Dasyuromorphia; Dasyuridae
Description: mir-7386 microRNA precursor family
Rfam family: mir-7386 microRNA precursor family
Source: Rfam by way of RNAcentral